GAGACAUGAAGACUACCCCAGACCUGAUCCUAGCCUGCUGGAAAACUUGCAAGCCAAGUGGAUGACCUAAGGAUAAAUGAAAACAUCACUUCUGGAAUGAAAGUAAAAGAAAUAGGAAGCAAUGGAAGAGUCCUUGGCCUUGGAACCCAGCCAUCAUGCUGUGAGGAAGCCAAAAGCAACCACAUGGAGAGGUCUGGGCUACAACCAGCAUCAACGUCCAUCCAUGCACAUUUGACAAAAAAGAAGAUGAAGAACAUAAGGAGAUGGCUCCUGGACCUGAAGAGGAAGAUGGAGACUGGAAAUACAAAGAUUAUUCAGGUGUAUUGACUAUACAAUAAACAGAUACCUAAAUAUCUCUUCUUGAGAACUUACUGUAGAGCACAGGGAACUCUAUUCAGUGCCUCGUUGUGACCUAAAUGGG
This is a long non-coding RNA of Cervus elaphus (red deer), 421 nucleotides long. RefSeq lists it as uncharacterized. The transcript has 4 exons. The record is from RefSeq and is a predicted model, not a curated record. NCBI's taxonomy places the organism in Eukaryota, Metazoa, Chordata, Mammalia, Artiodactyla, Cervidae.